UACGAAGGGGGCUAGCGUUGCUCGGAAUGACUGGGCGUAAAGGGCGCGUAGGCGGCUUGUAUAGUCAGAUGUGAAAUUCCUGGGCUCAACCUGGGGGCUGCAUUUGAUACGUAUGGGCUUGAGUGGGGAAGAGGGUCGUGGAAUUCCCAGUGUAGAGGUGAAAUUCGUAGAUAUUGGGAAGAACACCGGUGGCGAAGGCGGCGACCUGGUCCUUGACUGACGCUGAGGCGCGAAAGCGUGGGGAGCAAACAG
RNAcentral lists this ribosomal RNA (252 nucleotides) under uncultured prokaryote. RNAcentral describes it as "partial 16S ribosomal RNA". It matches the Rfam family "Bacterial small subunit ribosomal RNA", at positions 524 to 775 of the family's 1533-position model. The record is from RNAcentral.